UACGUAGGGAGCAAGCGUUGUCCGGAAUCAUUGGGCGUAAAGCGCGCGUAGGUGGCUUCGUAAGUCCGUUGUGAAAGUCAAAGGCUCAACCUUUGAAAGCCGAUGGAUACUGCGGAGCUAGAGUACGGAAGAGGCGAGUGGAAUUCCUGGUGUAGCGGUGGAAUACGCAGAUAUCAGGAGGAACACCAAUAGCGAAGGCAGCUCGCUGGGACGUUACUGACACUGAGGCGCGAAAGCGUGGGGAGCGAACAGG
RNAcentral lists this ribosomal RNA (253 nucleotides) under uncultured bacterium. Its description in RNAcentral is "partial 16S ribosomal RNA". It matches the Rfam family "Bacterial small subunit ribosomal RNA", at positions 524 to 776 of the family's 1533-position model. The record is from RNAcentral.